This 253-nucleotide ribosomal RNA is filed under the name uncultured bacterium. RNAcentral's name for it is "partial 16S ribosomal RNA". It matches the Rfam family "Bacterial small subunit ribosomal RNA", at positions 524 to 776 of the family's 1533-position model. The record is from RNAcentral.
UACGAAGGGGGCUAGCGUUGUUCGGAAUCACUGGGCGUAAAGGGCGCGUAGGCGGCUUUAUAAGUCGGGGGUGAAAGCCUGUGGCUCAACCACAGAAUUGCCUUCGAUACUGUAGAGCUUGAGACCGGAAGAGGUAAGUGGAACUGCGAGUGUAGAGGUGAAAUUCGUAGAUAUUCGCAAGAACACCAGUGGCGAGGGCGGCUCACUGGCCCGGUACUGACGCUGAGGUGCGAAAGCGUGGGGAGCAAACAGG